Molecule: ribosomal RNA, 496 nt
Filed under: uncultured bacterium
Lineage: Bacteria
Description: partial 16S ribosomal RNA
Rfam family: Bacterial small subunit ribosomal RNA
Source: RNAcentral
AUGAACGCUGGCGGCGUGCCUAAUACAUGCAAGUCGAGCGAACAGACGAGGAGCUUGCGCCUCUGACGUUAGCGGCGGACGGGUGAGUAACACGUGGAUAACCUACCUAUAAGUCUGGGAUAACUUCGGGAAACCGGAUCUAAUACCGGAGAAUAUAUUGAACCGCAUGGUUCAAUAGUGAAAGACGGUUUUGCUGUCACUUAUAGAUGGAUCCGCGCCGCAUUAGCUAGUUGGUAAGGUAACGGCUUACCAAGGCGACGAUGCGUAGCCGACCUGAGAGGGUGAUCGGCCACACUGGAACUGAGACGCGGACCAGACUCCUACGGGAGGCAGCAGUAGGGAAUCUUACGCAAUGGGCGAAAGCCUGACGGAGCAACGCCGCGUGAGUGAUGAAGGUCUUCGGAUCGUAAAACUCUGUUAUUAGGGAAGAACAAAUGUGUAAGUAACUAUGCACGUAUUGACGGUACCUAAUCAGAAAGCCACGGCUAACUACGUG